Molecule: ribosomal RNA, 658 nt
Filed under: Clostridioides difficile
Lineage: Bacteria; Bacillati; Bacillota; Clostridia; Peptostreptococcales; Peptostreptococcaceae
Description: bacterial LSU rRNA
Rfam family: Bacterial large subunit ribosomal RNA
Source: RNAcentral
AGUAUCAUUAAGUGAAUACAUAGCUUAAUGAGGGGAACUCAGGGAACUGAAACAUCUAAGUACCUGAAGGAAGAGAAAGAAAUUCGAUUCCGUAAGUAGCGGCGAGCGAACGCGGAUUAGCCCAAACCAAUAAAGUUUUCUUUAUUGGGGUUGCGGACAUAUCAUAACGAAGAGGUAUCGUAAUUGAAGAGGUUUGGAAAGACCCACCACAGAAGGUAAUAGUCCUGUAUGUUAAACGAGAAGACUUUAGAUCUGCACCCGCGUACCACGGGACACGUGCAACACGGUGGGAAGCAGGAGGGACCACCCGCCAAGGCUAAAGAGUACGUAGUGACAGAUAGGGAGAAGGACCGGGAGGGAAAGGUGAAAAGAACACCGGGAGGGGAUGGAAGUAAGACCUGAAACCCUGCACUUACAAGCUGUGGAAGCACAUUUCUUGUGUGACCGCGUACUUUUUGUAGAACGGGCCAACGAGUUACGUUAAGUAGCAAGGUUAAGCACUUAAGGUGCGGAGCCGUAGCGAAAGCGAGUUUUAACUGAGCGUUCAGUUACUGGACGUAGACCCGAAACCGGGCGACCUACCCAUGAGCAGGAUGAAGCGAAAGUAAAAUUUCGUGGAGGUCCGAACCCACGAGCGUUGAAAAGCUCGGGGAUGACU